This 480-nucleotide ribosomal RNA is filed under the name uncultured bacterium. RNAcentral's name for it is "partial 16S ribosomal RNA". It matches the Rfam family "Bacterial small subunit ribosomal RNA", at positions 29 to 507 of the family's 1533-position model. The record is from RNAcentral.
AUGAACGCUGGCGGCGUGCUUCACACAUGCAAGUCGAACGAAGCACUUUAUUUGAUUUCCUUCGGGACUGAUUAUUUUGUGACUGAGUGGCGGACGGGUGAGUAACGCGUGGGUAACCUGCCUUGUACAGGGGGAUAACAGUUGGAAACGGCUGCUAAUACCGCAUAAGCGCACAGCAUCGCAUGAUGCAGUGUGAAAAACUCCGGUGGUAUAAGAUGGACCCGCGUUGGAUUAGCUAGUUGGUGAGGUAACGGCCCACCAAGGCGACGAUCCAUAGCCGAGCUGAGAGGGUGACCGGCCACAUUGGGAGUGAGACACGGCCCAAACUCCUACGGGAGGCAGCAGUGGGGAAUAUUGCACAAUGGGCGAAAGCCUGAUGCAGCGACGCCGCGUGAGCGAAGAAGUAUUUCGGUAUGUAAAGCUCUAUCAGCAGGGAAGAUAAUGACGGUACCUGACGAAGAAGCACCGGCUAAAUACGUG